Molecule: ribosomal RNA, 359 nt
Filed under: Schinkia azotoformans MEV2011
Lineage: Bacteria; Bacillati; Bacillota; Bacilli; Caryophanales; Bacillaceae
Description: bacterial LSU rRNA
Rfam family: Bacterial large subunit ribosomal RNA
Source: RNAcentral
CCCAAGGGUUGGGCUGUUCGCCCAUUAAAGCGGUACGCGAGCUGGGUUCAGAACGUCGUGAGACAGUUCGGUCCCUAUCCGUCGUGGGCGCAGGAAAUUUGAGAGGAGCUGUCCUUAGUACGAGAGGACCGGGAUGGACGCACCGCUGGUGUACCAGUUGUCUUGCCAAAGGCAUCGCUGGGUAGCUAUGUGCGGACGGGAUAAGUGCUGAAAGCAUCUAAGCAUGAAGCCCCCCUCGAGAUGAGAUUUCCCAUUCGUAAGAAGUAAGAUCCCUCAGAGACGAUGAGGUAGAUAGGUCUGAGGUGGAAGCGUAGCGAUACGUGGAGCUGACAGAUACUAAUCGAUCGAGGACUUAACCA